CAGAGGGGGCAAGCGUUGUUCGGAAUUACUGGGCGUAAAGGGCGCGUAGGCGGCCCGCUAAGUCGAACGUGAAAUCCCCGAGCUCAACUCGGGAACUGCGUCCGAUACUGGCGGGCUUGAAUCCGGGAGAGGGAUGCGGAAUUCCAGGUGUAGCGGUGAAAUGCGUAGAUAUCUGGAGGAACACCGGUGGCGAAGGCGGCAUCCUGGACCGGCAUUGACGCUGAGGCGCGAAAGCUAGGGGAGCAAACGGAAUUAGAUACCCCGGUAGUCCUAGCCCUAAACGAUGAAUGCUUGGUGUGGCGGGUAUCGAUCCCUGCCGUGCCGAAGCUAACGCAUUAAGCAUUCCGCCUGGGGAGUACGGUCGCAAGGCUG
Molecule: ribosomal RNA, 372 nt
Filed under: uncultured organism
Description: bacterial SSU rRNA
Rfam family: Bacterial small subunit ribosomal RNA
Source: RNAcentral